CGGUUAAGUUAGAAAGGGCGCACGGUGGAUGCCUUGGCACUAGGAGCCGAUGAAGGACGGGACGAACACAGAUAUGCUUCGGGGAGCUGUAAGCAAGCUUUGAUCCGGAGAUUUCCGAAUGGGGAAACCCACCACUCGUAAUGGAGUGGUAUCCAUAUCUGAAUACAUAGGAUAUGAGAAGGCAGACCCGGGGAAC
Molecule: ribosomal RNA, 196 nt
Filed under: Bacillus velezensis
Lineage: Bacteria; Bacillati; Bacillota; Bacilli; Caryophanales; Bacillaceae
Description: partial 23S ribosomal RNA
Rfam family: Bacterial large subunit ribosomal RNA
Source: RNAcentral